This 253-nucleotide ribosomal RNA is filed under the name uncultured bacterium. RNAcentral describes it as "partial 16S ribosomal RNA". It matches the Rfam family "Bacterial small subunit ribosomal RNA", at positions 524 to 776 of the family's 1533-position model. The record is from RNAcentral.
UACGUAGGGGGCAAGCGUUGUCCGGAAUCAUUGGGCGUAAAGCGCGUGUAGGCGGCCCUGUAAGUCCGUUCUGAAAGCCCGGGGCUCAACCCCGGGAGGCGGAUGGAUACUGCAAGGCUCGAGUACGGAAGAGGCGAGUGGAAUUCCCGGUGUAGCGGUGAAAUGCGCAGAUAUCGGGAGGAACACCAAUGGCGAAGGCAGCUCGCUGGGACGUUACUGACGCUGAGACGCGAAAGCGUGGGGAGCAAACAGG